This is a long non-coding RNA of Zea mays, 4930 nucleotides long. RefSeq lists it as uncharacterized. The transcript is spliced from 2 exons. NCBI's taxonomy places the organism in Eukaryota, Viridiplantae, Streptophyta, Magnoliopsida, Poales, Poaceae. The record is from RefSeq and is a predicted model, not a curated record.
ACAACAAUCUUCAACAAUUCCUCUACUACUGCAGUGCCGGCCAUCAGCCGUAACAUAGCGGCGAGAUGUCCUUCUUGUUCCGUAAAAGCGCGCCCGUAGCCGCAGGAGAUCGCGCGCUCCGUCAAGGACCCCCCUCGUCGCCCUCGACACCAUGACCGGCGCGGCGGCGCGAAGGUAUAUGCGCGGCCCUCCAACAUCUUGGUCCCGCAUUCCAUCCGCGUGUGCAGGACUGCAGGCUCGCCGCUAACGUCUCGUCCACCCACCAACCGGAUCAUCUUGGGUCCUGUCAACGAGGUUGAGUUGCUUUUGUUUCUGGACUUGUGCGGAGUCCCAUAGAGAUAGAGUCGCGUUUUUUUGGUAGACUCCCUUUUCUUGGUGACAGACUGACAGUACUCCAGUUCUCUGUCAGUUGACGAAUGUUGCUUGACAUCGGCAAGUAGAGAUUGCUGGUAUUGAUGGGGGCAUUGCCUGAUACUUUGUUAAUUGUCAGGGCGGUUUGAAUGGUUGGUCUGUCUCUUUAGCUUGUCGCUCAAAGCUUCAGAAAACAACUGACUAGUGGAUUGUAAUGAGGGCUGUGAGGUUGCAAUUGCCACUGGAUUGCACAUUUGUGCCUCCAUGUAGGUGGUGGUAAUGGAAGUUUGGUUCUACACUCAUUUGUUUGAUGUAGUUAUAAAGUUAAUCAUGACAGUGAGAUGACACUUGGUCUUACUUGUUCACCACAUGUAUAAGUUAGCAGUUGUGAUCUUUUUGCAACAUAUCAUUGAUCUUUGACAUACAACAACUGCAAGAGCCAGAUCACUUCCGAAUCUGCACUUCUCUCAUGUUCUUUUCAACACUGUUCGCAUGGAAAUAGAUAAUUAGAUAUGUAUGUUGAGCCAGCUUUAAGUGAGAACCUGUUUACUUAUUUAAUUUACAGUUUUAGUUGUUCUCUGGUUGAUGUGUAGCCCCUGUAUAGAUUUCUUGUGCACUGAGCAGUGAACACCAUGGUACAAAAAACAUGUUGCUCAUGAAUUUGUGCAUGCUCCUGUUAGGCUCUUGAGGAUGCUGAGAAAAACAUACUUACGUUUAGGCAUACACUUGCUGGUGAAGUGGAACCAAAUCAAGAGCAGGUUCUGCAGAUAGCCCUUGAGAUUUGCAAGGAGGGUGUUAUUUCCUUCUUUGUUCAGAAUCUUCCUUCCUUGGGUUGGGAGGUAUGUUUUUUUCUUCUUCUGAAAUUCAGGAGGACUGCAUAUCAUUGCAUUAAUAGAAGAAAGAAAGGGUUGGGAGGUAUGUAUAUUCACAAAUUGAGUGUGACAACCUUUUUCACUGUGUUAUUAGCCUUAUUGGUGCCCCAACGGAUUUCUUCCGUGUCUUGUCUCCACGAGAAUAGCUAUAUUCAACGUUGGCUCGCCAAGCCUAUCACAACCCUUCUCUUCCUUUACUAGGGCUUCGAACCUGCUAUGUUGAGACAACGUAGGCGGAGUUAUGUUGCUCCAGUAUAUUGAAAAUCAUUUUGAUCUUCUGGAUUUCCUUGUUGUUUGGUAAGGCCUGUUUCUGAAGUUAUGAAUUGGAUUGGAACACAGGGAAUUGGAGCAUGCUGAUUCGUUUCUUGGCUGGAAAUGGGAAUGCAAUUGCAGAAAUAUAUAGAUAACUGAUUGCUUCCUAUGGCUAUUUAUUUUUACCACUUAUAUUUGCAUAGUUGUAUUAUUUUGUGUGUUUGUUUGUGAAAUGCAUUUGUAGUAUAUGCAAUAGUUUUACCACUUCUACUUGCAUUAUUUUUUUUCCUCAAACGCACAAGAGAGUUGCACAUCAUUAUAUUAAGAGAGGAGAAAAGGUCUAAAGUGGACCAGAGUACAAAGCCCGGAGUGCAGAAAAAACUGGACGUAAGCAGUAAGCACCAUGAACCUAACACCCAUGCCUCCUCUCCAACAACACAAGAGAAGAAACAUAAGCAAAGGAUAAGGCAGACCCGACUAGUCUAAACUGUAGCACUAGAAGUAGCCAAGACCCUAUUUAAGGCAACUGCAAGCCCAAGACUCUCAAGAUGCUUAGCACCCGCCUUAUCCCAGCAGAUCAAUUAAUCUAAAAACAGUCUUUUGACAGUGCUAAUGGAAGGAUUCACUCCAUCAAAAACAACCUUGUUACGAAGAAGCCAUAAGCACCAAGCCCCUAGAAUUAUGACACUAUUGAAGCCUUUUAUCCUGCUCUUAUGCACUUUUUUAAGAGCCUUUCCCCACCGCACAGCAAAAGAGAUCUCAUCAAUAUCAAAAGUGAGAUCACCCAGUCCCAUGAGCGACAAAAUAUGAUGCAAAAACUGUCUAGCAAAACUGCAAGUGCAAAGGAGAUAUUGGGUUGUUUCUUGCUCUUGAUCACAUAGGGGACACACCAGGUAUUGCAAUCCUCUCAUUUGAAGUCUAUCAACAGUCCAACACUUAUUCCUUAUUGACAACCAAAGGAAAAACUUGCAUUUUGAGGGAGCCCAAGUCUUCCACAAUCUUUUCGAUGGCUCAAAUGAAAUGGAACCCAUGAAGAAGGCUGUAUAGCAGGACUUGCAUUAUUUUUGUGUGUUUGUCUAUGAACUGCUCCUGUAGUAUAUGCCAUUGUAAUACUCCUGCGCCUGACUGAUUUAACUAUGUUUUACCAGCUACAAGAACUUGGAAGUAAGGUUUGGAAUAUUUGUUCAACUAUAUUUUCUUUUCUUAGUGGAUCUGCAAUAGCAUACAGUUUCCAGCAUAUAUGCCUUCGCCUGACAUCUGUUUUUUUAGAACCUCUGGCCCUUUGUAGUUGCAUGCAUGGACAGAUAUAGUACAUAAUGCAUUCGCUAAAACAAGCAGUCAUGGAAAUGUACUCUGUAGUAUGCAGAUGUUAGAUUUUGCAAAAAAAACUAAAGCAAACAAACAAAUAAAUGAGUUAGUUAAUUUUGCAAAUGAUUAUGUUUUCAUACAUUUGAUUUUAUACUGCUCUUUCAGAUAUAUAUUGGAGUCAAGUAGCUUCGAGUUGUUUUUCCAGUAAGUUGAAUUGCCAAACUUCGAUAUUGCUUCUGAUGCUCUGAACACCUUCAAGAUACUUGCAGGAUUUGCUAACCAAACAUGAAGAUCAAGUCUCUGAAUUCCUGAGCUCAAAUUAUGAACAGGUCAGCCAAAUAAUACCUUUAUGUAGAACGAAUGAAAUUCAUAAUUUUAAUGUUUAUUCCAAAUAAUUAAGAGGACCAAUAGUUUUGCUCCACCCUGUCCCUUGCAUUUUGUAUCUUCCUCCGUGUCAUCUUUUGCAUAGGUUGGUUUGGCUUUUAAUGAAUAAUUGUUCUUUUGUAUUGCUAAAGUUUUGAAGCGCCGAUCCAUUGUAAACAUGCGCAGUUUUUACUCUACACAAAGACAAUCGGUGAAGGUUAGACUAUUUAAAUUGCAAUUUCUUGUAGGGUACAAAAAUGCGAUGCUUUAAGGCACUUCGCUGCAUGCCAGUUUCGUUCAGAGUUUCUGUUAGAGGCCCCAAAUGCUCAAUAGUGAAGAGUUUCAUUUUCGAAGUUCGUUACUUAAACAUUAUGGUGGGUCUUCUGAAGGUAUUAGAGUAUAAGUUCCCUGCUUAUAUUUAAAGAAUCAGCAAUGAUAUUGAUCACCCUUCUCAUUUCCUCUGUUUCUUGAUUUUUCACUUAAGUAGUUAUGACAUUUUAGUGCCAUUAUCUUGUGAAAAAUGGCGGUUGUUAUUAGCACAAUAGAUGAGAGAUCCUGCUUUGGCUUUUGGAUAUCUUGCCAAGCAAAGGUCAUCCUCAGAGACUAAGAUAUACGUGCAGAACUAUACUCUUGCAAUUGUUCUUUAGUGACUGCCAGAGAUCCGGCCAUUCAGAUCUAAAUGGCUUUCUGUUUAUAGCUAAAUUGCAUAGCACCAUUGUUCAUGUUGAAUACUACCAUUUUAUUUCUCUGGGCUAUUUAUGUAUUGCUUGGGUACCCCAGUCAUCUUGUAUCUAACAGUGAGUAUUCGAGCAGUUCUCAUAGUUUCUAAUACAAAAGUAGUUCAAAUAUUCCUUCUUAAAUGAAAUGACACGCAAAUCUCCUGCGUUGUUUGAGAGAAAAAAAGUAGUCCAAAUAUACACACUUGCCAACUAGCCAGUGCUACAAAUUUUCUUCUUUUAAGACAAAUGAUGAAAACAACACAGGUUAGUCAUAGAUAGUUUGUUUUCAUCUUCAUAACUAGUGGCCAUCUUUUUCAUGCUAUACACAUUCUUUUUUUAAUGCCUCUACUAAGUACUACCUCCGUUCUCGAAUAUUUGUCGUCCGCUAGUUUAUUUUUGACCUAAAACGUGACAAAUAAAAAAGAACGGAGGGAGUACUAGCCAGUGUCUUUUGUAGGAUUCAACCAAAAAUAUCAGGAUAUGUUCCUUGCACAUUUUGAAGGUAUACGUUUACCCUUUCGGUUUUACGUUGGAUAGCUGUUGGUUUGAAUUAAUCAUAGCUUUGCGUGAGCACUAUGUUGUUGCCAUUUUUUGGAAGGUUCAUUUUCACUACGCGGAUGCAGGUAUUUGUUGCCAAUCCAAACAAACCUCGAGAGAUUAUCUCAGGUUUUGGCUGACAAUCACAGAGAACUGUUGAAGCUACUCCACAAUCUCCCCACUAGCAAAGGUAUUACUACUGUAUUGCCUAAUUCUAACUUAACCCUAACCCUAUUCUGUGUCCAAGCAAUCGAUGCUAGUAAUAGAGUAACAGAAUAUGAUGAUUGGAACUCGAUGUUAAGAUUUCUGAGUGAUGUGCAUUGAAGCGCUAAUAAUGUGCCCCAUUUUAAUUAUCAAAGAAAUCGAGAAGCUUGCGCGGAUGUCAGUAUAAACCCUCAGGAAAUUCGAACAUAGCUCCUUGAUGUUGAUGUUCAGGAACCCUUUCUCACCUCAAAGUUCUGAAGACAUCCUGUGUAAUGUGCUGCCCUGUAUGGAGCUUGUUUUUCAUAUAUGGAAAAGGUUUGGCCA